UGCAUUCACUACUGUAAAUCGCUCUGGAUAAGAGCGUCGGCUAAAUGACUAACA
Molecule: non-coding RNA, 54 nt
Organism: Salmo salar (Atlantic salmon)
Lineage: Eukaryota; Metazoa; Chordata; Actinopteri; Salmoniformes; Salmonidae
Source: Rfam